This is an RNA transcript of Carlito syrichta (Philippine tarsier), 720 nucleotides long. It is a transcript of the gene named mitochondrial pyruvate carrier 2 pseudogene, with no coding region annotated. The transcript has a single exon. The record is from RefSeq and is a predicted model, not a curated record. NCBI's taxonomy places the organism in Eukaryota, Metazoa, Chordata, Mammalia, Primates, Tarsiidae.
GGGACAAAAGACACCACCACGUUCCCACCUGGCUGCCCAAGAUCACUUGGCGGCGGAGAUGUUGCCUGCUGGUGUUCGAGGCCUGCGGGCCACCUACCACCAGGUGCUCGAUAAGGUGGAGCUGAUGUUGCCCAAGAAAUUGAGGCCGUUUUACAACCACCCGGCCGGCCCCAAAACAGUUUUUUUCUGGGCUCCAGUCAUGAAAUGGGGGUUGGUGUGUGCUGGAUUGGCUGACAUGGCCAGACCUGCAGAAAAACUCAGCACAGCCCAGUCUGCUGUUUUGAUGGCUACAGGGUUUAUUUGGUCAAGAUACUCACUUGUAAUUGUUCCAAAGAAUUGGAAUCUGUUUGCUGUUAAUUUCUUUGUGGGGACAGCAGGAGCCUCUCAGCUUUUUCGUAUUUGGAGAUAUAACCAAGAACUCAAGGCUAAAGCAAACAAAUAAAAGAGUUCCUGAUCACCUGAACAAUCUAGAUGUGGACAUAACCACUGGGACCUAGUUUAUUAUUUGAUGAUUAAUAAGGCAAUGCUAACUGUGCUAACAUUUGGAAGGCCCCAAAAUAUCUAACUGUAACAUGGUAGCUAGUGCUUGAUUCAACAGAAAAAUAAAGGAAACUUUUAAUAGUCUAUCUUUACAUAUGACUUAAGGAACUUAUCCGUGGAUAUUAGUAACAUUUUUCCAACCAUUUGUCCAUAAUAAAUUAUACUUGCUCAAAAAAAAAA